RNAcentral lists this ribosomal RNA (393 nucleotides) under bacterium enrichment culture. Its description in RNAcentral is "bacterial SSU rRNA". It matches the Rfam family "Bacterial small subunit ribosomal RNA", at positions 521 to 916 of the family's 1533-position model. The record is from RNAcentral.
UAAUACGGAGGGUGCAAGCGUUAUCCGGAUUUAUUGGGUUUAAAGGGUCCGUAGGCGGACUUAUAAGUCAGUGGUGAAAUCCUGUCGCUUAACGAUAGAACUGCCAUUGAUACUGUAAGUCUUGAGUAUAUUUGAGGUAGCUGGAAUAAGUAGUGUAGCGGUGAAAUGCAUAGAUAUUACUUAGAACACCAAUUGCGAAGGCAGGUUACCAAGAUAUAACUGACGCUGAGGGACGAAAGCGUGGGUAGCGAACAGGAUUAGAUACCCUGGUAGUCCACGCUGUAAACGAUGCUAACUCGUUUUUGGUAUUUCGGUAUCAGAGACCAAGCGAAAGUGAUAAGUUAGCCACCUGGGGAGUACGCUCGCAAGAGUGAAACUCAAAGGAAUUGACGG